Lolium perenne is the source of this 2372-nucleotide non-coding RNA. The record is from RefSeq and is a predicted model, not a curated record. NCBI's taxonomy places the organism in Eukaryota, Viridiplantae, Streptophyta, Magnoliopsida, Poales, Poaceae.
AGGGACUUCUCCCUGCCCUUCCCCGCGCCAUCCCACUCUCCUCCAUCUCGGCCGGCCGGACCGCAUCGUCGGCGGCAGCGACCAGCGCAGCCCCCGUGGAGCGUCCAGGAGGGCGAGGAGGUGAGCACCAGCGCAGAUUCGUCGGAAGGGAGAUGAAGGGGGGUGAAGAGAUGUGAGGGAGGAGAUCUGUGGUGCUGCUGUGCAUCUGUGAGAACCAUAUCCGCAAGCUCCUCCUAGGUUGCAGCUACUACCACUCCAAGAACUCCAACCUAGACGGAGGAGGGUAGUAAUUCGGGUUUGCUUAUUCUUUAUCUUUCAGCUUUUAGAGAAAAUUUACCAUUACUAUCUUAAAUCUUUGUGGGUUAGAGUUUCUGAUGAUCCAACAUCCCAUGAUUAUGCUAUUAGUCAAAUACUGAAAUUUUUGCUGGUUUCCCAAUAUAAAUUUUGCUUAGGAAGGAACAUCAUGGAGGCCGCUUGCCGCAUAAGAGGCUGGAGCGGCAAGUUUGGUGUGGCUGCUCCUCCAUGCAAAGUUUGCUGCUAGGUUUAGGUUCAGAUUUAGGAGGAGGUGGCCGGCCGUUCGGAAUAUUGUGCGAGCCAGCAGCGGUGACACGGUCCUUCUCCUCCCUCCUUACUUGUGGUGGGCUAGGGCCGGAGCUUGAUGGUUGUCGGAGCCGCUCGUCCACCCUGUACCUGAUUUGCUUUGAGCAGAGAAAAGUAGAGAGGGGUGGUGGAUUCGCAUGCUCGACAGCCCGCCAGCUAGGAUUUGAUGGCGGAGAGAUGCGAAGUCUAGCUUGAUUGUUGGCUUCUUUAUUAUAUGGACGUGAUGCAAGGUUGCUAUAACAGAAAGACCAGGUUCACCUAUUUUCCUGCUACAAAGAUCACCAUCAUAUAGGUUGGUCUAAAGGUGAAGAGCUUCAGGGGCUUGUCGCUUGUUUUUGAGGCGAGCUUAUUUGGAGCUUCCAGUUUGUCCUGGGCAUCAUCAAAAGGAUGCCUGCAAUGGCCUACGUCAUCGAUUUGAGAAAAAAGAAGAGUCUCAUUAAGGUGAUUUGGAGGAAGGAGCCAACCAGUACCCCGCAAAACUUUUGUGCUGAAGGAGGGCGGAUUUUCCAUCUAUAAUUUUGUGUUUAGUUCAGUUCGGCACUGAAAAAUGGUUUGGUCCUUUCUUUCGUUAAAAUGGUGAGAGAUACCUGCAAAAUGUUCCUCUACUGAAGCCUGUGAUCAAUAUAGAGGAAUUUGAGUCUUCUAUUUUGCAGCUAGGGUUUCAGUUUAUAGAAGAUUCUUGCUGAUGACGAUCACAGGGAGCAUCAUGGUGAGUUCGCAUUGGCGUGACGGUGCUGCACCCGUUGAGUAAUGCAUCGGUAUAGGCUUGGGAUUGCAGCGGUUGUACCUACAGAAGUGGCAGAAAGCAAAGCUAAAAUUAUGUUGAAGCUUCUUUCAUCAAGACAAACAAUAAAGUGGCAAAGAAUAAUUUGGUUUUAGUUUCUGUUGAAUGAUGGUUUUAUGAUGUAUCAAACAUUGAUGGAGUCAUCUGUUGGAGAAAUGCCAUAUGCGCCGCCGCCGGCUGGACAUCCAUGGCACACAAUCCUUCGCCCUCCUACCUCGACAUGGGCUAAGUUGUCCUUGACGGUGACCUUGACAUUUCGAACCCAUCUACAGGUUAAUUAUGAGGACUUGGUGCUCCAUUAUCUCCUCAUUUCACUUAUGUGGGUGGCGAGGAGAUCAGCGAGAUGUCUCGCACCACCGGUGCAUGAUGACAAGAUGGUGGGGCCUUUUGGCGUUCUUGCAAUCCGGUUUCCUCGGCCAGAGUUAGGCGACCUUGCCAGCAACACCUCGUCAUCUCGAACUUGUCACUAGGUAUACCAUCUCCCUAGAUGCAAAAGGAGAGGUGCAGAUUCAGGAUCAGUGGUGCAUUGCUUACUAAAAAGAAGAGCUUUGAACAAUUACUUUUGAACAAAAGGACAGAUGGAUUAUCUCGAUCAUUGCCCAACAUUGGACAAUAAUAAUAUUGCCCCUUCAUACAGUGGAGCUGGAGUGCUUAAAGGAUUUUUAUUGAAAAAUAAUCCUCUUGAUCUCUCUUCUAUCUCCAUAGCUCAUAUGUUGAUGCUCCUCCCUUCCUCAUGUGUGAGUCUAACACCGGGGAAGUUUCAUAUUUGUUCAUAACAACUUGACUGUCAACUAAAGAAUUGGAUAUGAGUUAUUACCAAUAAUGAUUGCAUCUUCUGUGAGAAUGAUCUGGUUACUGACAAGAAUGCGGAGCUCAUCGGGAUGCAAGAUGCCGAGGUGGCCGGCAUCCAACACCGUGGGCUGUUGGUGCUCCACCCAGCGCCGCACUUCUUGCUUGCAUGCAUGCCACCGGUCAGUUGUAAGAUGCC